This 263-nucleotide non-coding RNA is filed under the name Lachnospiraceae bacterium. RNAcentral's name for it is "T-box sequence". It matches the Rfam family "T-box leader". Rfam says of the family: Uncharged tRNA acts as the effector for transcription antitermination of genes in the T-box leader family. The record is from RNAcentral. Lineage: Bacteria; Bacillati; Bacillota; Clostridia; Lachnospirales; Lachnospiraceae.
UUAAAGGCUGUGAAGAGAAGAGUAGGUCGUUAGAUACAAUACAGAGAGUCUGUACGGGUGAGAGCAGGCAUGGAAGGAACGAUUGAAAAUGGUCUCGGAGCUGCGCACCGAAGCAUAGAUAUGCCAAGGCUGCGACGGGUGCACCCGUUAACGUGAUAGACUAUCGGCGAAUCAUUUCUCGCCCGUAGUUGAUAAGGCUCUGACCGUGAGAUCAGGGUGAAUUUAGGGUGGUAACACGAAGCGAUACAGCUCUCGUCCCUGAA